This 433-nucleotide ribosomal RNA is filed under the name uncultured bacterium. Its description in RNAcentral is "partial 16S ribosomal RNA". It matches the Rfam family "Bacterial small subunit ribosomal RNA", at positions 29 to 507 of the family's 1533-position model. The record is from RNAcentral.
AACGAACGCUGGCGGCAUGCCUAACACAUGCAAGUCGAACGAGACCUUCGGGUCUAGUGGCGCACGGGUGCGUAACGCGUGGGAACCUGCCCUGAGGUUCGGAAUAACUCCCCGAAAGGGGUGCUAAUACCGGAUAAUGUCUUCGGACCAAAGAUUUAUCGCCUUUGGAUGGGCCCGCGUUGGAUUAGCUAGUUGGUAGGGUAAAAGCCUACCAAGGCGACGAUCCAUAGCUGGUCUGAGAGGAUGAUCAGCCACACUGGGACUGAGACACGGCCCAGACUCCUACGGGAGGCAGCAGUGGGGAAUAUUGGACAAUGGGCGAAAGACUGAUCCAGCAAUGCCGCGUGAGUGAUGAAGGCCUUAGGGUUGUAAAGCUCUUUUAACCGGGAUGAUAAUGACAGUACCGUGAGAAUAAGCUCCGGCUAACUCCGUG